AUGAACGCUGGCGGCGUGCCUAAUACAUGCAAGUCGAGCGAACAGACGAGGAGCUUGCUCCUCUGACGUUAGCGGCGGACGGGUGAGUAACACGUGGAUAACCUACCUAUAAGACUGGGAUAACUUCGGGAAACCGGAGCUAAUACCGGAUAAUAUAUUGAACCGCAUGGUUCAAUAGUGAAAGACGGUUUUGCUGUCACUUAUAGAUGGAUCCGCGCCGCAUUAGCUAGUUGGUAAGGUAACGGCUUACCAAGGCAACGAUGCGUAGCCGACCUGAGAGGGUGAGCGGCCACACGGGAACUGAGACACGGUCCAGACUCCGACGGGAGGCAGCAGUAGGGAAUCUUCCGCAAUGGGCGAAAGCCUGACGGAGCAACGCCGCGUGAGUGAUGAAGGUCUUCGGAUCGUAAAACUCUGUUAUUAGGGAAGAACAAAUGUGUAAGUAACUAUGCACGUCUUGACGGUACCUAAUCAGAAAGCCACGGCUAACUACGUG
Molecule: ribosomal RNA, 496 nt
Filed under: uncultured bacterium
Lineage: Bacteria
Description: partial 16S ribosomal RNA
Rfam family: Bacterial small subunit ribosomal RNA
Source: RNAcentral